Molecule: ribosomal RNA, 180 nt
Filed under: uncultured Anoxybacillus sp.
Lineage: Bacteria; Bacillati; Bacillota; Bacilli; Caryophanales; Anoxybacillaceae
Description: partial 16S ribosomal RNA
Rfam family: Bacterial small subunit ribosomal RNA
Source: RNAcentral
UAGGGAAUCUUCCGCAAUGGACGAAAGUCUGACGGAGCAACGCCGCGUGAGCGAAGAAGGUCUUCGGAUUGUAAAGCUCUGUUGUUAGGGAAGAACAAGUACCGCAGUAACUGGCGGUACCUUGACGGUACCUAACGAGAAAGCCACGGCUAACUACGUGCCAGCAGCCGCGGUAAUUAA